UAAGGAAUAUUGGUCAAUGGAGGCAACUCUGAACCAGCCAUGCCGCGUGCAGGAAGAAGGCCCUAUGGGUCGUAAACUGCUUUUGAACAAGAGAAAACCCCGGUACGUGUACUGGGUUGAUAGUAUUGUUAGAAUAAGCAUCGGCUAACUUCGUGCCAGCAGCCGCGGUAAGACGAAGGAUGCAAGCGUUAUCCGGAUUCAUUGGGUUUAAAGGGUGCGUAGGCGGACUGAUAAGUCAGUGGUGAAAUCUCUCGGCUUAACCGAGAAACUGCCAUUGAUACUGUUAGUCUAGAGUACAGAUGAUGUGGGCGGAAUAUGACAUGUAGUGGUGAAAUACUUAGAUAUGUCAUAGAACACCGAUUGCGAAGGCAGCUCACAAAACUGUAACUGACGCUGAGGCACGAAAGUGCGGGGAUCAAACAGGAUUAGAUACCCCUGUAGUCCCUGAGCGGGCUGGCAAGGCGCAU
This 467-nucleotide ribosomal RNA is filed under the name uncultured bacterium. Its description in RNAcentral is "bacterial SSU rRNA". It matches the Rfam family "Bacterial small subunit ribosomal RNA", at positions 355 to 825 of the family's 1533-position model. The record is from RNAcentral.